Pimephales promelas (fathead minnow) is the source of this 577-nucleotide non-coding RNA. The record is from RefSeq and is a predicted model, not a curated record. NCBI's taxonomy places the organism in Eukaryota, Metazoa, Chordata, Actinopteri, Cypriniformes, Leuciscidae.
AUUCAUGAUAUAAAAUGAAUGAUAUUUUAAAUUGUUACAUGUUAUAAUUCUAGAUGUUUAAAUGCUGCGUGCCUUUUGAAUUGUUAUGGUUUCAACGCGCGUGCGAGUCGCAUUCAAAGUUGUCCGGUUCAAAGACAGGAGCGCACGCGAGCAGAUGGAAACCAUGGAAACGAGGAAACCUCUUCAACUGACAAACAGCAAAAAAUAGCGUCUCUCUGUUUUUCCACUGCUUUCAGUCUAGAAAAUCAUCAUGAUGUCCUGCUACAGCCCUGUCCCAAGACAACCUCCACGGCUAUGAACUCGACUAAUGAGAUAUCAUUUGACCCUGUGAUUCUUCAGGACCAGAUCUUGAUGCCAUCCACACCCAGUACAUGACAAAGAUGCUGUGACAAAAAGCAGUCAAGCCACUGCAUGUGAGGUGGAAGCCAAUAUGAAGACAUGGCUCCGUAAUCCCUGGGACAGAGAUGGGGGAAGGCAAGGAAGGGCCAGAACUACUGUUGCCCCUGAGGAUUGAUUUUUAAUUUUCAAUCCCCUGUUUUCUGUGAUUAUUGCUGUUUUAAACUGUAUUAUCAUUAAU